RNAcentral lists this ribosomal RNA (496 nucleotides) under uncultured bacterium. Its description in RNAcentral is "partial 16S ribosomal RNA". It matches the Rfam family "Bacterial small subunit ribosomal RNA", at positions 30 to 523 of the family's 1533-position model. The record is from RNAcentral.
AUUGAACGCUGGCGGCAUGCUUUACACAUGCAAGUCGAACGGUAGAGGGGGCAACCCCUUGAGAGUGGCGAACGGGUGAGUAAUGCAUCGGAACGUGCCCAGUCGUGGGGGAUAACGCAGCGAUAGCUGUGCUAAUACCGCAUACGAUCUCUGGAUGAAAGCGGGGGACCGAAAGGCCUCGCGCGAUUGGGGCGGCCGAUGUCAGAUUAGGUAGUUGGUGGGGUAAAGGCUCACCAAGCCAACGAUCUGUAGCUGGUCUGAGAGGACGACCAGCCACACUGGGACUGAGACACGGCCCAGACUCCUACGGGAGGCAGCAGUGGGGAAUUUUGGACAAUGGGCGCAAGUCUGAUCCAGCAAUGCCGCGUGCAGGAAGAAGGCCUUCGGGUUGUAAACUGCUUUUGUACGGAACGAAAAGGUCUGGGUUAAUACCCUGGGCACAUGACGGUACCGUAAGAAUAAGCACCGGCUAACUACGUGCCAGCCGCCGCGGUAA